UCAUACUUAGUGGUUUAAUACAGAUCAAAACAAAUUUAACAGAAAAAAUGAGUAAGAAACUUGUCCUUUCAAGAGUUCCCUUUUUAAUAAUUUUGUUAUUGGAAAAAAAAAAAAAAACUUUGUUAUUGGGACGCUUGGGUGGCUCAGCAGUUGAACGUCUGCCUUUGGCUCAGGGUGUGAUCCUGGAGUUCCAGGAUCAAGUUCUGCAUCGGGCUUCCUGUAGGGAGCCGGCUUCUCCCUCUGCCUGUCUCUGCAUUUCUGUCUCAUGAGUUAAGUAAAAAUCUUUAAAAUUUUUGUUAUAUAAACAAUUUCUAUUAUUUAGAUAUAACCUAUAAAUCUUGUGCUGAGUAAUGGUUAAAUUCAAAUAUAAAUCAUUUGGGGUACCUGGGUGGUUCAGUUGGUUAAACAUGUGCCUUUGGCUCACAUCAUUCCAGGGUCCUGGGAUCGAGCCCCACAUCACGCUCUCUUCUUAGCUGGAAGCCUUUUUUCUCCCUCUCCCUCUGCCUCCCCCGCCCCCCUGCUUGUGUGCUCUAAUAAAAUUUCAAAAAACAACAAAUAUAAGUCAUUUGGAUUACAGUAUUUUGACUUAAAAGUUUUUAGAAUAUACUUCAUUAUCCAUUAAAAUGAGAGUAAACUGAAUUAAAUUCUAGAUAAUCCAGAAAUAGCCAUCUAAACACACUAAGACUUACCAUUUACCAAAUUAGUUAUUUUCAGUUAAUUACUUGUCAGAUGCAAUGGAACAUUCUCCAGAAAAGAUCACAUACUGGGUCACAAAUCAGGUCUUAAGCAGUACCAAAAGACUGGGUUCAUUCCCUGCAUAUUUUUGGACCACAAUACUCUGAACUGGAACUCAAUCACAAGAGAAAAUUUGGAAAGAAUUCAAAUACAUGGAGGCUAAAGAGCAUCCUACUAAAGAAUGAAUGGGUCAAGCAUGAAAUUAAAGAAUUUUACAAAUUCAUGGAAACAAAUGAAAAUGAAAACACAACUGUUCAAAACUUUGGGAUACAGCAAAAGCAAUCCUAAGGAGGGAUAGAGACCUAUCUAUAGGUCUCAAAUAUACAACUUAACCUUACACUUAAAGGAGUGGUACAAAGAACAGCAAGUAGAGCCUGAACCCAGCAGAAGAGAAAAGGGGCACCUGGGUGGCUCAGUGGUUGAGUGCCUGCCUUUGGCUCAGGUCUUGAUCCCAGCGUCCUGGGAUCAAAUCCUGAAUAGAGCUCACCGCAGGGAGCCUGCUUCUCCCUCUGCUUAUGUCUCUGCCUCUCUCAUGUAUAAAUAUUUCUUUUUAAAAGAAGAGAAAUAAUAAAGAUUAGACCAGAAAUCAAUGAAAUAGAAACCAAAAGGCUACAACAGAUCAACAAAACUAAGAGCUGAUUCUUUGAAAGAAUUAAGAUGGAUAAACCCUUGGCCAGACUUAUCAAAAAGAAAAAAAGAAAGGACCCAAAUAAAUAAAAUCAUGAAUGAAAAAGAUCACAAGAAACACUGAAAAAAUAUAAUUAUAUGAACAUAUUAUAAGCAACUAUAUGUCAACAAAUUAGGCAAUCUGGAAGAAAUGGAUGCAUUCCUAGAGACCUAUGAGCUACCAAAACUGAAACAAGAAGAAACAGAAAACCUGAACAGACCCAUAACCAGCAAGGAAAUUGAAGCAGUAAUCAAAAAUCUCCCAACAAGAGUCCAGAGCCAGGUGGCUUGCCAGGGGAAUUCAACCAAACAUUUAAAGAAUACCUAUUUGAUUGAAGCUGUUUCAAAAAAUAGAAAUGGAAGGAAAACGUCCAAACUUUCUAUGAGGCCAGCAUUACUUUGAAGUCAAAACCAGAGAAACACCCUACCAAAAAGGAGAAUUACAGAAUAGCCCCGAUGAAUAUGGAUGCAAAAAUUCUCACCAAUACUAGCCAAUAGGAUCCAACAGUAAAGGAUUAUUCACCAUGACCAAGUGGGACUUAUUCCUGGGCUGCAAGGGUGGUUCAACAUCAACAAAUCAAUGUGAUAUACAUUAAUAAAAAAAAGGACAGGGAUCCCUGGGUGGUGCAGUGGUUUAGUGCCUGCCUUUGGCCCAGGGCACGAUCCUGGAGACCCAGGAUCAAAUCCCAUGUCAGGCUCCCGGUACAUGGAGCCUGCUUCUCCCUCUGCCUGUGUCUCUGCCUCUCUCUCUCUCUCUCACUGUGUGCCUAUCAUAAAUAAGUAAAAUAAUUAAAAAAAAAAAAAAAAAAAA
Molecule: long non-coding RNA, 2212 nt
Filed under: Canis lupus familiaris (dog)
Lineage: Eukaryota; Metazoa; Chordata; Mammalia; Carnivora; Canidae
Description: lncRNA (ENSCAFG00845016361.1)
Source: RNAcentral